GAAAUGAUAGCUUUUGGAACAACAUGUCACAAAAUAAACUGCUUUUGCUUUUGUUCCUGCGACGCCUGUAUAUGCUCAAUAACAUAGUGAAUCCAUUUGUUUAUGGAUUGUUUGAUACGGCUUUCAAGAAAGAACUUAAGAAAAUAUGCUCAAGCUGGUCGUUCCCAAAGCUCAAUUUCUAAAUGGAUGGCCACAGUCCCUGUUUAACCUGACACGUUGCUAAUAAUAAGUUAAAGAAUGAUUUAAAAAAUCUAUUUACCGAGAUCAUUUAUGAGAUCGCUUCAACAUUUACAAAGUAUUAAAAUGUGAAAUCUU
RNAcentral lists this long non-coding RNA (315 nucleotides) under Mytilus galloprovincialis (Mediterranean mussel). Lineage: Eukaryota; Metazoa; Mollusca; Bivalvia; Mytilida; Mytilidae. The record is from RNAcentral.